CCUCCGCAGGCAGAGAACAAGUGGUACACCCCCAUCAAGGGUCGUCUCGAUGCUUUGUGGGCUCUGCUUCGGCGACAGUAUGACCGAGUCUCCCUCAUGCGUCCCACCUCGGCAGACAAGGGUCGGUGUAUGAACUUCAACAGAGUUCCACAUCAGUAGACGACGGAUGGAAGCCACCGCUGUGGACCAGAAGAAGAAGAAUUCAGGUUUUUGAAGAUCCGUGAUCCUGCCGCUCAAACCACUAUCUGAUCACCUGGCUCUUAUCGGACACGGGGGUUUCCUCUUCGGUGUUCUGUUCUCUGAUCACAGGGUGGAACGUCUGUCUAAACUCCAUUAACUUAUUUGUUUCCUUUCCUGACUGCACCGCCACCUGUGUUUCCUACAGUACUUAAAAGUCCAGGCGUCCCUGAACGCAGCGCUCACACUCAGUUAGCUUUUUAUGCACACCAAAGGGUUAAAAUAUUCCACCACAUUUUACAUGUUUAUGUGCCUUUUUGUAAAUUUAUGCCUUUUUAUACCAAAAAAGUAUUUUUGUAUUUCUAAAUCUGAUAAAUUAAGUUCUUCUGAAUUAACAAUAAUCUUGAAUUUUUCAAGAAUUAAUAAACUUUAGACGAGUUUUUUAGCUUUAGCAGUAAAAACACAACUUUUUUUAUUCUCUUUUUAGUUGAAAAUGCAUUAUAAAUACACUCACAUCAAUUUAUGCAAAAGCAUUUACAGGAUGCAUUUCCAGUGUUUUUAUAUUUCUACCAAAUGUUGUCUGUAAUGUGAUGCAUGCACUACUUUCAGCCUAAAACUAAUGUUAUCAGUUCAUUUAUUGUAAAAUUCCAGGCGUCCCUGAACGCAGCGCUCACACUCAGUUAGCUUUUGUGCACCAAAGGGUUAAAAUAUUCUAUCACAUUUUACAUGUUUGUGUGCCUUUCUGUAAAUUCAUGCCUUUUUAUAUGAAAACAAGUAUUUUUGUAUUUCUAAAUCUGAUAAAUUAAGUUCUCCUGAAUCAACAACAAUCUUGACUUUUUCAAGAAUUAAUAAACUUCAGACAAGUUUUUUUAACUUUACCAGUAAAAACUAAACUUUUUGUUUAUUCUCUUUUUAUUUGAAAAUGCAAAAUAAAUACACUCACAUCAAAUUCUGCAAAAGUGUUUACAAGAUGCUUUUCUAGUGUUUUUACUUAUUAAUAACGUUUGUUUAACAAAACUAUAAGGGUGGGGGGGUGGCUUAUGGUCCAGGUGGUACCUCAAAAGAAAAAUGAAUAAAUACAUGAGAAAUGAAAAUACAUCCAGGUAAAAAAAAA
Long non-coding RNA from Sphaeramia orbicularis (orbiculate cardinalfish), 1291 nucleotides. RefSeq lists it as uncharacterized. The transcript is spliced from 3 exons. The record is from RefSeq and is a predicted model, not a curated record. Lineage: Eukaryota; Metazoa; Chordata; Actinopteri; Kurtiformes; Apogonidae.